GAUGAACGCUAGCUACAGGCUUAACACAUGCAAGUCGAGGGGCAUCAGGAAGAAAGCUUGCUUUCUUUGCUGGCGACCGGCGCACGGGUGAGUAACACGUAUCCAACCUGCCCUUUACUCGGGGAUAGCCUUUCGAAAGAAAGAUUAAUACCCGAUAGCAUAAUGAUUCCGCAUGGUUUCAUUAUUAAAGGAUUCCGGUAAAGGAUGGGGAUGCGUUCCAUUAGGUUGUUGGUGAGGUAACGGCCCACCAAGCCUUCGAUGGAUAGGGGUUCUGAGAGGAAGGUCCCCCACAUUGGAACUGAGACACGGUCCAAACUCCUACGGGAGGCAGCAGUGAGGAAUAUUGGUCAAUGGGCGUUAGCCUGAACCAGCCAAGUAGCGUGAAGGAUGAAGGCUCUAUGGGUCGUAAACUUCUUUUAUAUAAGAAUAAAGUGCAGUAUGUAUACUGUUUUGUAUGUAUUAUAUGAAUAAGGAUCGGCUAACUCCGUGCCAGCAGCCGCGGUAAUACGGAGGAUCCGAGCGUUAUCCGGAUUUAUUGGGUUUAAAGGGAGCGUAGGUGGACUGGUAAGUCAGUUGCGAAAGUUUGCGGCUCAACCGUAAAAUUGCAGUUGGUACUGUCAGUCUUGAGUACAGUAGAGGUGGGCGGAAUUCGUGGUGUAGCGGUGAAAUGCUUAGAUAUCACGAAGAACUCCGAUUGCGAAGGCAGCUCACUGGACUGCAACUGACACUGAUGCUCGAAAGUGUGGGUAUCAAACAGG
RNAcentral lists this ribosomal RNA (758 nucleotides) under uncultured bacterium. RNAcentral's name for it is "bacterial SSU rRNA". It matches the Rfam family "Bacterial small subunit ribosomal RNA", at positions 28 to 776 of the family's 1533-position model. The record is from RNAcentral.